RNAcentral lists this ribosomal RNA (490 nucleotides) under uncultured bacterium. RNAcentral's name for it is "bacterial SSU rRNA". It matches the Rfam family "Bacterial small subunit ribosomal RNA", at positions 215 to 697 of the family's 1533-position model. The record is from RNAcentral.
UCGCUAUGGGAUGGCCCCGCGGUGCAUUAGCUAGUUGGUAAGGCAACGGCUUACCAAGGCAAUGAUGCAUAGCCGAGUUGAGAGACUGAUCGGCCACAUUGGGACUGAGACACGGCCCAAACUCCUACGGGAGGCAGCAGUAGGGAAUCUUCCACAAUGGACGCAAGUCUGAUGGAGCAACGCCGCGUGAGUGAAGAAGGUUUUCGGAUCGUAAAGCUCUGUUGUUGGUGAAGAAGGAUAGAGGUAGUAACUGGCCUUUAUUUGACGGUAAUCAACCAGAAAGUCACGGCUAACUACGUGCCAGCAGCCGCGGUAAUACGUAGGUGGCAAGCGUUGUCCGGAUUUAUUGGGCGUAAAGCGAGCGCAGGCGGAAGAAUAAGUCUGAUGUGAAAGCCCUCGGCUUAACCGAGGAACUGCAUCGGANACUGUUUUUCUUGAGUGCAGAAGAGGAGAGUGGAACUCCAUGUGUAGCGGUGGAAUGCGUAGAUAU